Ostrea edulis (European flat oyster) is the source of this 511-nucleotide long non-coding RNA. RefSeq lists it as uncharacterized. The record is from RefSeq and is a predicted model, not a curated record. NCBI's taxonomy places the organism in Eukaryota, Metazoa, Mollusca, Bivalvia, Ostreida, Ostreidae. The transcript has 3 exons.
AUGUUUUACUUACCAUUCCUAUUUACACUACAAACACUUAAAAUUCUGUGUAUUAAGCAACAGUAACUUUGACUAUCAACAGAUGGACAUGUAAACAAAAAGAUUAUAGUUUUGAAAAUAUUAUAAAACCACCUAGAGCUACAAGUCGAUAUACUAUUAUGCACAUGCUGUCUUCAACUUCAUGGGGGAAAAAUCCACACCUUUUUCAUGAUGAACUUAACGAUGUGAGAACCCAUUUAUGCAUGCAAUUUGAGCUCAUUUGGAUCAACGAGUGGCAAAACCAAUUUGGUAAAUUGCGUCGCUUGUUGCAGCGACCCGCCUGACAGUAAUGGUCCAUGUAAUACACGGCUAUGUGGUGAAAACAUGAUUGGAGGAACAACACAACUGCCUAGUGGUCAUAUUCUCGGAUAACACAACAGCAUAGUGGUCAAACUUCUCGGAUAGUACAAGAGUCUUGUGGCCAUGUUACCGAACAGUUCAUGAAAAUUUAAUGUACAAUAUACUUAUAUUA